Salmo salar (Atlantic salmon) is the source of this 1156-nucleotide non-coding RNA. The record is from RefSeq and is a predicted model, not a curated record. NCBI's taxonomy places the organism in Eukaryota, Metazoa, Chordata, Actinopteri, Salmoniformes, Salmonidae.
ACACAAGGAGUGUCUGAAACAGGAUCUACAUCGUAGCUGUAUAUAAAAAGAGGCAGAUCAAACUCCAGAAUCGACACAGAUUCCUGAAUACGGAGAGAAAUGAAUCCUGCUGUGUUUCUGUUGGUUUCCCUGUGCUGCUGCUGCUGCUGCUGUCUGUCUGCGGCUCAAGAAGAGAUCAAAAAGACUGAAAGUGAAGAUAGAAAAUGCCAGACAUCAGAAGGCUCAUGCUACCCUGACUUGUGCAAGCUGCUGAAAGACUUUGGUGUCAUGGAGGAGAAACUGCGAACCACGGUGGGAAAACUGGGAGUCAUGGAAACCCAGCUCAAAGUUAACGAGAAUCAACUUGAGGAACUGAAAAAUAAGGAGAGAAUGAAGGUGAUCUUUUCGGCUGCCCUUGGCGGGAAUGGGCACAUCGGGCCAAUCCACCACGACACAACCCUGAUCUUCAAAAAUGUCAUCACUAACAUCGGCAGUGCCUACAAUCCAAGUACAGGGGUAUUUGCUGCCCCUGUCGCAGGGGGUCUACUACUUCAAUUUCUUCUACCAUGCCGGAGGAAAUGAGGUUAAAUACAUUUCCUUGUUCAAGAAUGGACAGAGGAUGGUCACUUCCUCUGAUCACAAAUCUAGCGGCGAUGGAGCUGACAACGGGGCUAAUGCAGUCACUCUACAGCUGGAGGUGGGGGACCAGAUCUUCAUACGCCUAAUGGCUAACACUCACGUGUGGGACUCUGAAAACCACACGAUCUUCAAUGGGUUCCUGCUCAAACAAGUGUGAUGAAAUACAUUGGUAGCGCUGUCCUCUACUUUCUAACUUUGGUAAUAUUAUUAUUAUUAUUAUUGUGAACAGCUAAUCUUUCUCACAUACUGUAACUCCUGUAUCCUAAUUCAUAAUGUAAUCUAUAUAUCCAUCAUUAAUGUAUUCAACAUAGCCAUCUUAUUCAUCAUUAUCUAGUCUAUAUGUAUUCAGGUUGACAUUGUUGGUAAAAUACAUUGGUAGGCUAGCGCUAUCCUGUACUUUGUAGGUUGAGUGACAGCAUCUCCUAUCUUCUUUUGGUUUCUGACGUGAUUACUGUGUGUUGAUGUUGUUACACACUCUUGGUCGACACCAAGACAAAUCACCGUUGUUGAAAAGCAAUAAAGACUUUAAAGGAAAGGA